RNAcentral lists this ribosomal RNA (253 nucleotides) under uncultured bacterium. RNAcentral's name for it is "partial 16S ribosomal RNA". It matches the Rfam family "Bacterial small subunit ribosomal RNA", at positions 524 to 776 of the family's 1533-position model. The record is from RNAcentral.
CACGUAGGAUCCGAGCGUUAUCCGGAUUUACUGGGCGUAAAGCGCGUGCAGGUGGUCUGUUAAGUUGGAUGUUAAAUCUCACGGCUUAACCGGGAGAUGUCGUUCAAAACUGGCAGACUAGAGGACGGUAGAGGAAGGUGGAAUUCCGGGUGUAGUGGUGAAAUGCGUAGAUAUCCGGAGGAACAUCAGUGGCGAAGGCGACCUUCUGGACCGCUCCUGACACUCCAACGCGAAAGCUAGGGGAGCAAACGGG